GAUGUGGAGUAAAACUUAGAAAAGACGACCUCAGUUCGGAUUGAAGGCUGAAAUUCGCCUUCAUGAAGUCGGAAUUGCUAGUAAUGGCAGGUCAGCAUACUGCCGUGAAUACGUUCCCGGGCCUUGUACACACCGCCCGUCACACCAUGAGAGUUGGAGAUACCCGAAGCCUAUGAGCUAACUUUUAGAGGCAGUAGUCGAAGGUAGAAUCAAUGAUUGGGGUGAAGUCGUAACAAGGUAUC
This 242-nucleotide ribosomal RNA is filed under the name uncultured bacterium. RNAcentral's name for it is "partial 16S ribosomal RNA". It matches the Rfam family "Bacterial small subunit ribosomal RNA", at positions 1259 to 1500 of the family's 1533-position model. The record is from RNAcentral.